GACACUAGUACAGAGACUGAGACAGUUCAGAGCGCGGAAAAACAACGGUUGAGUUCAGAUCAUUUAAAAUGUCUCUGUUCCUGAUACUGAUGCUGCCAUUAGAAAUGAAUGAGAUCGGCCUACAUUAACACUGAUGCCACAAAGAGGAGGAGACGUCAAAGAGGAAGUAGAGGCGACAUUUGUCCUCAUGAGACACUAGUACAGAGACUGAGAGAGUUCAGAGCGUGAGAAGAAGACGGAAGAACAACGGUUGAUUUCAGAUCAUUUAAAAUGUCUCUGUUCUUGAUACUGAUGCUGCCAUUAGCAGUAACUCAAGUUUCCACCAUCACUUUCAGAGUUGGAGAUGACGUCACUCUGCCUUGUGACAAUAUAAAAGAUCUGAAUGAUGAAUGUUUCAGUACUACCUGGAUCUUCAGUGGUUCAGGAAGGUCGUCAACGUCAACGUUGUUUGAACAUGGGAAGAUUCACAAAGAUGCUGGAUCUAAAUCAAACAGACUGAGUGUUACAACAAACUGUUUACUGGUUAUAAAGAAGGUCACAGUUGAGGAUGAUGGUCGUUACACCUGCAGACAGUUCAAUAAAUCAGGACGACAAGUUACAGACUCUGGUGUUGAUCUUUCUGUUACCAAAAAAGAAAAAACACCACCACCACCAACAACAACAACGAUGAAAGCUGCAACAACAACAAAGACAGUAGCAACAUCAUCUAAAACUCCAUCACCUCCACCUCCAACAACAACUAAAAUGGCAAUGACACACAACAACACACCUGAUCAACCAUCAACAACAGUCACAGGUGAGUCUGGCUCCAACACAACCACUGGUAAAUCCACCACAGUAACACAUGUAGAAAUAAAUAAAUACAUGUGUGAAUGAACAACAACUUUCACUAAGGUAGUUCUAGGCAGAACGGGUCCAACCUUUUACGAGCAAGGUGUACCUAAUAAAGUGGCUGGUGAGUGUACAUCCAUUGACUGAGGGCGAGUAAAGUAAUAAAAACUAUGAAAGACUGAU
This is a long non-coding RNA of Mugil cephalus (flathead mullet), 1014 nucleotides long. RefSeq lists it as uncharacterized. NCBI's taxonomy places the organism in Eukaryota, Metazoa, Chordata, Actinopteri, Mugiliformes, Mugilidae. The record is from RefSeq and is a predicted model, not a curated record. The transcript has 4 exons.